GUCAGCUCGUGUCGUGAGAUGUUGGGUUAAGUCCCGUAACCGAGCGCAACCCUUGUCCUUAGUUACCAGCACGUUAUGGUGGGGCACUCUAAGGAGACUGCCGGUGACAAACCGGAGGAAGGUGGGGAGUGACGUCAAGUCAUCAUGGCCCUUACGGCCUGGGCUACACACGUGCUACAAUGGUCGGUACAAAGGGUUGCCAAGCCGCGAGGUGGAGCUAAUCCCAUAAAACCGAUCGUAGUCCGGAUCGCAGUCUGCAACUCGACUGCGUGAAGUCGGAAUCGCUAGUAAUCGUGAAUCAGAAUGUCACGGUGAAUACGUUCCCGGGCCUU
RNAcentral lists this ribosomal RNA (332 nucleotides) under uncultured Pseudomonas sp. RNAcentral describes it as "bacterial SSU rRNA". It matches the Rfam family "Bacterial small subunit ribosomal RNA", at positions 1054 to 1382 of the family's 1533-position model. The record is from RNAcentral. Lineage: Bacteria; Pseudomonadati; Pseudomonadota; Gammaproteobacteria; Pseudomonadales; Pseudomonadaceae.